Molecule: long non-coding RNA, 520 nt
Organism: Alosa sapidissima (American shad)
Lineage: Eukaryota; Metazoa; Chordata; Actinopteri; Clupeiformes; Clupeidae
Exons: 4
Source: RefSeq, a predicted model, not a curated record
AGUACGGUACAGUACAGUUUCGGCUCUAACCGCCUCUCGGCGUCAGUUUGUUUUUAGAAGUGGUGGGGACAAUAACCAUAAGCUUGAGUGUGGUUUGAAAAGUGCGGGGUACCCUUAUCACCUCAUCAGACUACAACAGACAUGAUUCGCUUCUCAGAAAAAUUGCAGUCUUCCAUCUCACAUCUUUCUUGCUGAACGACUUACUUGGAUUUAAUGUUCCAGAGCUGAAGUCCUCCCUGGCUGCUGCCAAACAGGAUUUUGUUCAGAGAUGAAAUGGUCUCCAAAAGGUAACAGAAGGUGAACAUCAUCUCUAUGGCCAGAAUACGUGUGCACAACCUGUCGGGAUGCCAGAGCACAAAGAAUCUGAAUCAAUAGGAGUCUAACAAGUGCUUUCAGAUCACCUCUUUGUUCCUGGCAAAGGCCACAACAGUUUUGCCAUGUGCAGCGAACACCAGCAUCCGAUCAGCAGCCAGACAAGAUAUAUCAUCGGGAAGGGCAUUACCUGAUUAAAAAGACAAUC